This 614-nucleotide ribosomal RNA is filed under the name Rothia terrae. RNAcentral describes it as "bacterial SSU rRNA". It matches the Rfam family "Bacterial small subunit ribosomal RNA", at positions 59 to 677 of the family's 1533-position model. The record is from RNAcentral. Lineage: Bacteria; Bacillati; Actinomycetota; Actinomycetes; Micrococcales; Micrococcaceae.
CAGUCGAACGAUGAAGACCGGUGCUUGCACUGGUUGGAUUAGUGGCGAACGGGUGAGUAAUACGUGAGUAACCUGCCUUUGACUCUGGGAUAAGCCUUGGAAACGAGGUCUAAUACCGGAUAUGACACAGUUUCGCAUGAAAUCUGUGUGGAAAGGGUUUUGUACUGGUUUUAGAUGGGCUCACGGCCUAUCAGCUUGUUGGUGAGGUAAUGGCUCACCAAGGCGACGACGGGUAGCCGGCCUGAGAGGGUGACCGGCCACACUGGGACUGAGACACGGCCCAGACUCCUACGGGAGGCAGCAGUGGGGAAUAUUGCACAAUGGGCGCAAGCCUGAUGCAGCGACGCCGCGUGAGGGAUGACGGCCUUCGGGUUGUAAACCUCUUUCAGCAGGGGAGAAGCGAAAGUGACGGUACCUGCAGAAGAAGCGCCGGCUAACUACGUGCCAGCAGCCGCGGUAAUACGUAGGGCGCGAGCGUUGUCCGGAAUUAUUGGGCGUAAAGAGCUUGUAGGCGGUUUGUCGCGUCUGCUGUGAAAGCCCGGGGCUUAACUCCGGGUUUGCAGUGGGUACGGGCUAACUAGAGUGCAGUAGGGGAGACUGGAAUUCCUGGUGUA